RNAcentral lists this ribosomal RNA (292 nucleotides) under uncultured bacterium. RNAcentral's name for it is "partial 16S ribosomal RNA". It matches the Rfam family "Bacterial small subunit ribosomal RNA", at positions 505 to 796 of the family's 1533-position model. The record is from RNAcentral.
GUGUCAGCCGCCGCGGUAAUACGUAGGGUGCAGGCGUUAAUCGGAAUUACUGGGCGUAAAGCGUGCGCAGGCGGCUACUCAAGUCAGAUGUGAAAUCCCCGGGCUUAACCUGGGAACUGCGUUUGAAACUGGGUGGCUAGAGUGCGGCAGAGGGGGGUGGAAUUCCACGUGUAGCAGUGAAAUGCGUAGAUAUGUGGAGGAACACCGAUGGCGAAGGCAGCCCCCUGGGCCUGCACUGACGCUCAUGCACGAAAGCGUGGGGAGCAAACAGGAUUAGAAACCCCGGUAGUCC